AUUGAACGCUGGCGGCAUGCCUUACACAUGCAAGUCGAACGGUAACAGGUCUUCGGAUGCUGACGAGUGGCGAACGGGUGAGUAAUACAUCGGAACGUGCCCAGACGUGGGGGAUAACGAGGCGAAAGCUUUGCUAAUACCGCAUACGAUCUAAGGAUGAAAGCAGGGGACCGCAAGGCCUUGCGCGUUUGGAGCGGCCGAUGGCAGAUUAGGUAGUUGGUGGGAUAAAAGCUUACCAAGCCGACGAUCUGUAGCUGGUCUGAGAGGACGACCAGCCACACUGGGACUGAGACACGGCCCAGACUCCUACGGGAGGCAGCAGUGGGGAAUUUUGGACAAUGGGCGAAAGCCUGAUCCAGCAAUGCCGCGUGCAGGAUGAAGGCCUUCGGGUUGUAAACUGCUUUUGUACGGAACGAAAAGGCUCUGGCUAAUACCUGGGGCACAUGACGGUACCGUAAGAAUGAGCACCGGCUAACUACGUG
Molecule: ribosomal RNA, 482 nt
Filed under: uncultured bacterium
Lineage: Bacteria
Description: partial 16S ribosomal RNA
Rfam family: Bacterial small subunit ribosomal RNA
Source: RNAcentral